GUCGAGAAUCUUCCGCAAUGCGCGAAAGCGUGACGGAGCGACACCGCGUGAUGGAUGAAGUCCUUCGGGGCGUAAACAUCUUUUAUAAAGGAGGAAAUUUUUGACGUUACUUUAUGAAUAAGGGGCUACCAAUCUCGUGCCAGCAGGAGCGGUAAUACGAGAGCCUCAAGCGUUAUCCGGAAUCAUUGGGCGUAAAGGGUGCGUAGGGGGUUUGAUUAGUCUCCCGUUAAAACUUCGAGCUUAACUCGAAAAGAGCGGGGGAAACGGUCAAACUAGAGUAUGUGAGAGGUGUUUGGAACUCAUGGUGUAGGGGUGAAAUCCGUUGAUAUCAUGGGGAACACCAAAAGCGAAGGCAGCACACUGGCACAUCACUGACACUGAGGCACGAAACCUAAGGUAGCGAAUGGGAUUAGAUACCCCUGUAGUCC
This 428-nucleotide ribosomal RNA is filed under the name uncultured bacterium. Its description in RNAcentral is "partial 16S ribosomal RNA". It matches the Rfam family "Bacterial small subunit ribosomal RNA", at positions 354 to 796 of the family's 1533-position model. The record is from RNAcentral.